CAACUUUCAGCAACGGAUCUCUUGGCUCUCGCAUCGAUGAAGAACGCAGCGAAAUGCGAUAAGUAAUGUGAAUUGCAGAAUUCAGCGAAUCAUCGAAUCUUUGAACGCACCUUGCGCCCUUUGGCUAUUCCGAAGGGCAUGCCUGUUUGAGUAUCAUG
Molecule: ribosomal RNA, 158 nt
Filed under: uncultured Tomentella
Lineage: Eukaryota; Fungi; Basidiomycota; Agaricomycetes; Thelephorales; Thelephoraceae
Description: 5.8S ribosomal RNA
Rfam family: 5.8S ribosomal RNA
About the family: 5.8S ribosomal RNA (5.8S rRNA) is a component of the large subunit of the eukaryotic ribosome. It is transcribed by RNA polymerase I as part of the 45S precursor that also contains 18S and 28S rRNA. Functionally, it is thought that 5.8S rRNA may be involved in ribosome translocation.
Source: RNAcentral